RNAcentral lists this unclassified non-coding RNA (318 nucleotides) under Hevea brasiliensis (rubber tree). The record is from RNAcentral. Lineage: Eukaryota; Viridiplantae; Streptophyta; Magnoliopsida; Malpighiales; Euphorbiaceae.
GCCACAAUGGUCAGAUCAACCAACAAAUGCAAAGCUUGUGAAUGAUGUUUGGGAAAUAGGUGUUAGAGCCAAACAAGAUGAAAAAGGGAUAGUUAGAAGAGAAGUUAUAGAAGAAUGUAUAAAACUAGUGAUGGAAGAAGAUAAAGGAAAAUUAAUUAGAGAAAAUGCAAAGAAAUGGAAGGAAAUAGCUAGAAAUGUUGUGAAUGAAGGAGGAAGUUCAGAUAAAAAUAUUGAAGAAUUUGUUUCCAAGUUGGUUACUAUUUCCUAAAUGAUAAAGAAAUAGAUUUGUAUUUUGUAAUUACUUUUUUCUGAUUGAAG